This 467-nucleotide ribosomal RNA is filed under the name uncultured bacterium. Its description in RNAcentral is "partial 16S ribosomal RNA". It matches the Rfam family "Bacterial small subunit ribosomal RNA", at positions 28 to 506 of the family's 1533-position model. The record is from RNAcentral.
GACGAACGCUGGCGGCGUGCUUAACACAUGCAAGUCGAACGGAAAGGCCCUGCUUUUGUGGGGUGCUCGAGUGGCGAACGGGUGAGUAACACGUGAGUAACCUGCCCUUGACUUUGGGAUAACUUCAGGAAACUGGGGCUAAUACCGGAUAGGAGCUCCUGCUGCAUGGUGGGGGUUGGAAAGUUUCGGCGGUUGGGGAUGGACUCGCGGCUUAUCAGCUUGUUGGUGGGGUAGUGGCUUACCAAGGCUUUGACGGGUAGCCGGCCUGAGAGGGUGACCGGCCACAUGGGAACUGAGAUACGGCCCAGACUCCUACGGGAGGCAGCAGUGGGGAAUAUUGCACAAUGGGCGGAAGCCGGAUGCAGCAACGCCGCGUGCGGGAUGACGGCCUUCGGGUUGUAAACCGCUUUCGCCUGUGACGAAGCGUGAGUGACGGUAAUGGGUAAAGAAGCACCGGCUAACUACGU